This 253-nucleotide ribosomal RNA is filed under the name uncultured bacterium. Its description in RNAcentral is "partial 16S ribosomal RNA". It matches the Rfam family "Bacterial small subunit ribosomal RNA", at positions 524 to 776 of the family's 1533-position model. The record is from RNAcentral.
UACGAAGGGGGCUAGCGUUGCUCGGAAUCACUGGGCGUAAAGGGUGCGUAGGCGGGUCUUUAAGUCAGGGGUGAAAUCCUGGAGCUCAACUCCAGAACUGCCUUUGAUACUGAAGAUCUUGAGUUCGGGAGAGGUGAGUGGAACUGUGAGUGUAGAGGUGAAAUUCGUAGAUAUUCGCAAGAACACCAGUGGCGAAGGCGGCUCACUGGCCCGAUACUGACGCUGAGGCACGAAAGCGUGGGGAGCGAUCCGG